AUAAGGUAUUCACUGUUCAGAUAUGAAUAUUUUUUUUUGUUCUUUUCAGGUUCUUUAGAUUUCUUUAAAAAUCCAAUUUUGUUUUCUAAUAAGCAAAAAGUAAAGCCACUUUACCCAUGUCUGUAUGUUAAAUUGAGCUUGUCUUUCUCUCUAUCUCUGUUAACACAUUUGUAUUUGUUUGAUUAAUUCUUGUGUCUUUCAGCCUGUUUCUGCCUAUCACCAUGAGUGAUUCCUUGAUACUCAUAUUUAUCAUCAAGAUCUCAAUUAUAAGCUCAAGUCUUGAUGACAACUUGAUGAUCUGCAGGAAGCACCACCAUGUAUAGAGGGCAAAGACCACUCUGGAAUCAGUCAAGGGUGAAAUGGAGUGAGGCAUACAAGGAUAUGUGUGGUUUUACUCUUGGGAAGGAGGUUGAACAGUGCAAUAUUUCUUCUAUAGGAUUGCAGUGACCAGACAUGCUACUGUAACUCUCAUGGUCAUGUGCUGGAAUUAGCAGAUAUUCAACAAUUUGGCCAUCUUGCUGACCUAUUGAUAUCAGAAGACCACAACAGCUCUGCAAAGCAAGUUGGAAAACAGAAUCCAUGAAACUGGCAGUGACCGGAAACCAGUUAGAAGACUUUGGUCUGUGACGUAGAGGAGUGGGCAGACGCAGAAGCAAAGACGACAAACAACAGAAGUGAUAUGGAUGUCUUCGUCAUAUGGCAUGACUCUGCUGACCCAGCAACAAAGAGGAGG
Danio rerio (zebrafish) is the source of this 733-nucleotide non-coding RNA. The record is from Ensembl. NCBI's taxonomy places the organism in Eukaryota, Metazoa, Chordata, Actinopteri, Cypriniformes, Danionidae.